UUUUCUCAGUUCAUUGCCCCUAUUAUGUUCCCGGCCGUUGUUCCUUGGAUAUUGUAAUUUCAAUGCCUCUAGUACGUCUUCAAGUGCGGCAGAAUAUUCUAACCUGCACCUGAUUGUGCAAAUUCCCACAGUGUCUCUCAUCUGCCGUCCCGUGGGCCGUAUUGAGAUCCAUUGGGUAUUUCCCUGUGGAUUCCAUUGACUGAGGCAGUUUCAAUUUUCUCAGUUCAUUGCCCCUAUUAUGUUCCCGGCUGUUGUUCCUUGGAUAUUGUAAUUUCAAUGCCUCUAGUACGUCUUCAAGUGCGGCCGAAUAUUCCAACCUGCAACUGAUGUUGCCUUUGCCCACAGUCUCUGGUUGAUUUAAAAGGUAAAAACUCACCUGCCGUCGCGUUGGCCGUAAUGAGAUCUAUUAGGUAUUCCCCCUGUGGAUUCCAUCAACUGCAGUUAUAUUUUUCUCAGUUCGUUGCCCGUAUUACUUUCCCGGCCGUUGUUCAUUCGUUAGCUUAGUUUUAACAGCGGCCAGCCAAUGAAAAUGAGCGGCCGUCAAGCCACAUGACCCAGCGGUGACGUCGCGUGAUUAAUCGACCAAUCAGAGAUCGGCGUCCAAUUUCAACCAUGCUCUCUAGUUCUUGGGUAACUAGAGACAGCCCUGUUGAAAUUCGUCCGUUUGAAAAUGGCAGACCAAAGUGUUUGACCUCACACGCACCAAGUGCAUACACGCAGAAACUGGUAACAGUACUAUCAUGCAAUUAAGAGGAACCCGAGUCAGAGACUUCCUCUGAUUCCCCCUCGCGGAUCCGCGGUUUCAAUCUGUCAUUAGCCAGGAGAAAAUCAACACAGGCCUGCCAGGUUAAUUUACUGUGGAUGAAGUCGCGGAGCGAUCUUGGCGUAUGACCAAGUUCCUUUCCAGCAAUAAAUAACAGGCGAGUUCUAAGGGAAUCGAGACUGUCACACUCGAGCAAAUUAUGUUCAAGAGUUUCCUCCGCCCCAGAGUCGCAGUAGAGGCAGGUGGGAUCAUCAAUAAAUCCCAUUUUGUGGGAAAAGCUGUCUGUCCAAGUGUGUCCGGACAGCAGACCUACAACGACGUGCAUGCUGGGAAUGAUGAACGCAAACUUUUUGUCUAAGAGACUCAUUGGAGUGAGGCCAAAGCGGGUGCAGAUGGGGCGAGAGGUGGUGUCGAAUCUGCUCUGCCAAGCCGCCCACGCCUGUUUGCGUGCUGUGGAUUCAAGUUUUGACAGCGGCGCGAGGCAGUAGCAGCUCGGGAGAUCAGACCCAGCUCCAUCCUUCGCGAGCACAUCUGCAACGUCGUUGCCGACGAUUCCGCUAUGCCCUUUGAUCCAGCGUAUGGAGCAUCUAUUCCCAUUGCGGUUCAGUUGUGAAAUCAACAACAAGGCCCUGUUAAUCAGGAAGUUGCCUGUCCUGCAGUUGAGGACUGAGUUCACAACCGAAAGAUUGUCCAGGAGAACCUCAAUUAUGGUAUUAAUGGGGAGCUCUGAAGCGUUCUCAAGUGCUUUGAUCAAACCAAAUGCUUCGGCUUGGAAGACAGAACAGUAACAUGACAAAACAUAACAGAUACGCAAUUCAUGCAGGUUGUCAUUCACACACACUCUAUAAAUCUGCGCCAACUCCAUCAUUGGUCUUGGAGCCGUCUGUAUAGUAGGUGACCUCGGGUGGUAGUUCAGGAAUAUUACUGGGAAGGAAAAAGAAAGGUGGAUACGGCAGAGGUUGAGGAGAGGGAGGAGUUUCAACCGGAAAUUCAGCAUCCACGUAACCAUAUUUUUUAAGAUACAGUUCCGUUUUGACACCAAUUUCUAGGUCAAGGGGAGAACACAAGAUAAGGAGAUAAGGGAGGAGUUGUUAGUUGUUUUAAAAGCACGGCAAGCUAAGACAUGAAAGGACGUUGCGUACUUAGUAAGAGUUUUUUGGAGCAUUCAGAAAGAUUGGGAAACCAUACUGGGGAGGCGUAAGCCACCACGGGAAUAACAACCUGCAAGUACAGCAUUCUCAAGGCUCGGAAUCCAAAACCAAAGUUGAAAUUAGCGGCUGCUGACAGGCGCGGUAGCAUGCCGCGGACUUUGGAGCACACUUCAGUAACGUGCUGGUGGAAAGUCAAACGGCUGUCGAACCUCACACCAAGCACCCUAAUGGAGUCGCUCCAUUGGACGACCUGGCCAUUGCGGGGUUUUUGAACAAACAUAGCCUGGCAUUUAUUCACACUGAGCUCAAGUUUAUGUAAUCCACACCAAUUGGUGAUCAGAUCAAUGGCGGGUUGUGCCUUAGACUGUUGACCAUGCCUCAAUCCCGAGAUCACAACAACCAGGUCAUCUGCGUAGGCCUGUGGAUAUACACAUUUCUUGUACCCCAGUGUGAGUAAUUCAUCAAAGACGAUAUUCCAAAGGAAGGGCCCGAGAACUGAACCUUGUGGAUAUCCUUUGGAGACGCGUCUAGUGACAGUGGAUCCAUUUACAUACAGUCUGACAGAGCGAUGGUCCAGGAACGAGCGAAUUAAAUCGUGGACGUUCUUAAGACAAUCGCUUUUACGCAGGGCCCGCAAUAUGCUAGAGUGUAGCACAUUAUCAAAGGCACCUUUGACAUCAAAAGAGAGAAGAAUAGCAGUUUAAUGUAAGUUUAGCGACCAGGAGAGGAAAUUUUUUAAUUUUAUGAGUGCGGCGAUGGUUGAUUUACAGGGCCUGAAACCGAACUGGUUUGGCUGGGCUUUACACAUUCUCUCAGCCCUCCACGAUAACCUAGUCAGGAUUAGACGCUCGAGAAUUUUACCUAGACUAGGCAACAUCGUGAUGGGCCUAUGAGACGCGAGAAAGUCCUCACCACCUUUUUUGGGGAUCAAAACUACAUCGCCCAAUUUCCAGGGAGUUGGAAAAUGUCCAGUUUCAAGACACCUGUUAAAAAUUUUCAGAAAAAACGUCCGGAAUUUUCUAAUCAGUUUAACACAAACAACAGGUGGCAUGCCAUCACUACCAGGGGAAGAAGAUAAGCGAACCUUAUCCGCGGCCAGCUGCAGCUCAGCUUCUGAGAACAGAGGAUCGUUAUCAGAAGUAGACUGCAUGGCUCUAUGUAAAUUAUUAUGCCCUACCAUGGAAUCGGGCGGGACUCGGCCGAAAUAAUGCUGUAAUACGUGGUCUAAGGUCUCCCGCUGACUAACAGUGAAGCCGGCGCCGACCGCGAGGGAGGAGAGAGGUUUUUUCUUUUGCUUUCCUCUGAUGAAUUGAUAAACACCGCCCCAAGGGUUGACUUCGCACUGCGAGCAGACUCUUCUCCACUCCUCCUGCUUAGCUUUUCUGAUCGCAGCACGAAAUCUGUUAUAAAGCUUUUUGUGAAAGACCUUUAACACACUUCUGACGGCCCCGCGAGCGCGUCUCCACGCACGCUCGGCCUUCAGAGUGGCCCUUUGGAGCAGAUUUAAUUCCAGUUUCCACCAAGAUGCAUUUUUUAUUUUGCAAGGUUUAUUUGGCUUGGAAGGAAUGGUCUGUAUGCAUGAAUGAAACACCUCGUCACUAAGUAAUGUAAUAACAUUAUCUAGUUGAGAUGUGUCACUCCUCAUGUUCUGGUUGAUCGCGUUCCAAUCAGCGAUCCUGUCCACGAGCCGCCUUCUGCCACCUAUGUUCAGAAUAAAACUAAACAUACUCCCCUCCUGUGGACGUAGUACACACACAAGGCAAAAGAAAAGGAUCACAUAGUGUAGAAAGUUUUUUUUUUUUGAAGAAGAAGAAUUAGAAUGGCAGAAGUGCAAUCUUCGAGAUGGGUCUUAUUAGAUGAUGUUGUUUCUCUGUUUGAAGUUCCACAACUCGGACAUUGCCAUCCGCUCCAGGUGACACCUUGGUGAUGCGGCCAAGGCUCCACUGCAUUGAAGGCAUAGGAAUGUCUUUCUUUUUUCAUGACAAACUUCUUUUGGAAGUUCAUAUGUGAUUGGUAGCGGAUCUUGUAAACUUGAGUUUGAUAGCCAAUCAGGACCAUUCCACCAAAGUGAAUGGUUUACUAGUUCUGAAGAAGUUAUACCUCUGGAGGCGCAAUCUGCAGGAUUAUCCUUGGUAGACACAUAGUACCAAGAAGAUUGCAGAGUUAGUCGCUGAAUUUCUGCAAUCCGGUUACCAACAAAAGGUUUCCAAUGUUUUGAUUAAGAUUUUAUCGAACAUAAAACAAUCUGGGAAUCUGUCCACAAAAUUACUCAUCAAUCUGCAACAGAAAUGAGCUGCAAAUGGAAUCAUAUAAAUUUGAAAGGAGAAGAGCAGCUCAAAGCUCCAGACGAGGUAUUGACGUUGCCUUCAAGGGAUAGACUUUUGUCUUGGCAGCAAUCAAUGUGACUUGAACAUGACCAGAUUUAUGGCGUUCUGACGUGAGUCUCCGAGAUUAGGCACAGGUUUAAACGGUAGACCAACAGAAUAUCUUCCAUCUGUUGAUAUGCAAAAGUUCUUGUCAUAAAUGUCCCCGCAACUCUUCUCCUCUUUAGUCAAUGGAAGAGCGGCAGGAACCGAUUCCAAUUCAAAAAACUUUCGCAGAUUAUCAUCUCCUUGGGAUGUUGAGCAUAAUGAGAUAUAGUUGUUUCCAGUCUCAGAACUGGAAACAUUUCCUGAAAGUAUCCAUCCUAACUUGGAACUACAGGCAGUGGGUCCUGGAUAAUUUUGGAAUCGUAGUUUUCCUGUAUAUAAAAAUGGGGCUAGGUCUGCACCAAUUACUAAAUCAAUGGGACUUGUUUUUAUCAAAAUUGGGAUCUGCUAAUAAAGUAUUCUUAAGAUGAGGCCAAUUAUCUUUAUCAGAAAAUUAGGUAAAUCAACAGUGAUUUGAUCGAGUAUUAUGGAUGAAAUUUUGAAUAUUCUAUCAGAAAAAUGAGGCUUAAAUUGAAGAAAAGUCUCACUAGCAGACUGCUGUAUUGGUUGGUUACCAAUUCCAAAAACUGUGAGUUGGCUCUUUUUAACAGGAAGAUUCAACUUUUCACGACAAGGUUCUGUUAUUAGACUUCUUUGAGAACCAGUAUCAAUCAAAGCUCUGUAGGAAAUGUAUUAGAAAGAUAUCAACAAGUGUAUUUUCUCCAAACCCAGUGAUUUCAAAUUUCUCAUGGCUUCAUUACAUAUAUCUAGUAGUUCGAAAAUGGCCUUGGAAUUUAUUAGUUUUAAAGGUUUUAAAGUGAAUAAUUUUGUACAUUGUGAAAAGGCAAGUUCUUUUUUGUUAUCAUAUCUGGAGACCAAUGUGGCCCAAGCAUGGGCAUAGUUUUCAUCAAUAACAGGAAAUCCCCAUAUAAGUCGUUCAGCGUCUCCAGUAACAGCUGAUUGUAAAUAUUGCAGCUUUUGUGAAUCAAUUAGAGUGGUAUUAGAAUCAAUAGACAGAGAAAACAAUUGCUUGAAACUAAGCCAUUCGUUAAUAUCACCAGAAAAGGAAGAUAAAUUAAAUUUAGGAAGUUCUAUUUUACUUGUGGUUGAUUGAUUUAGAUCAUCAAUUUUGCUUGAAAUGGCUGUACAAGAUACUUUAUUGAUAUUCACCACUAAAUUUCUAAGAUUAUCAUUGUAUUGCAUAACUCUAGAAAAGUAAACUUCAUCAUCAAAUUCAGAAAAUGUUAAAAGAUUACAAUAAGUUUUUUCAAUGUUAGAUUUCAUAUCUAAAAUAUCUUGUUUAAAUGUCUGUAAAUUUGCAUCAUCCUUCGAUUCAAUUAUCUUGAGCGAAAUUUGUUCAAAAUAAUCCACUUGUUUGAAAUGAAAUUCAAGAAUAUUUAAAGUAGCUUUAAAUUUGGCAGCCAUCUUUAAUUUUUGCUAUUAUUAAUUUUAAUAAUAUAUUUCAAAAAUGAAUUAUAAUUAUUUAUAUUUAAAUAAUUAUUUAAUAGAUUUAUUCCCGGGUUUCGGCACCAUAUGUUGUUUC
This 5865-nucleotide non-coding RNA is filed under the name Cordylochernes scorpioides. The record is from RNAcentral. Lineage: Eukaryota; Metazoa; Arthropoda; Arachnida; Pseudoscorpiones; Chernetidae.